GCUGCGUCUCCUCCAGGCCUCACAUCUAGAUUCCAGAUAUGAAGGAUGAGAAAGGCCAAGGGACAGUGGAGGUGGGGAGAGAAGGAAAGGACUGCAUAUGUAUCAGGAAAGCAGAAGUUUUCAUAGAAAGCCCAGCUUCAGCCUUACUGAUUAGAACUGCACCAGAUGGCCACCCCUAGUUGCAAGACAGAUGGGGGAGCAAGCUUGUUAUCUGGACACACUGCAUGCUUGAAAAAAGUUGGAGUUCCACUAGUAAGAAAGAAGAGAGAUAUUGGAUGAACAGCAACCAUUGUCUACUAUGUGCCUGGGACAAGGUUAAUUCCUACAAGUGAAAUUGCUGGAUCGAAGCACAUGGACAAGAAGUAUCUGUGGCACUUAUUGCAGAAAGUUUGCAUUGGUGGAACCUCGAGUGUCUGCUUUCCCACAUCCUUACCAGCACUGAGAAUUUUCUUUUUCAUGUUUUCCACCUCUCUGAAAUAAAAUUAAUACCUGAUUUUGUUUGCAAUUUCAUUUUUACUGAGGCUGCAUAAUUUUUCAUAUACUUAUUUUUCUAUGAAUUGCCUGAGGAUAUUAAAUUUUGUUACCAUAGCCAAUGCCCAUAGAGGCAUUUGUUCAGUGUCAACUUACAUCAAAAGUGCCUCUCCCAGCCUCUUCUCUCACCACUCUGCUCAUGCACCCAUCCUAAAGUCAAGAAUCAGAGUUGUAAGCAACAGAAACCACCUCUGGCUACUUUGAGUGGAAAUGGAAUUUAAUAAAGGAUAUUUUGUGAUCAGACAAUCCCCAUGAGAAACAGAGAACC
RNAcentral lists this long non-coding RNA (799 nucleotides) under Homo sapiens (human). RNAcentral's name for it is "HSALNT0268878". Lineage: Eukaryota; Metazoa; Chordata; Mammalia; Primates; Hominidae. The record is from RNAcentral.